AGGAAUAUUGGUCAAUGGACGAGAGUCUGAACCAGCCAAGUAGCGUGAAGGAUGACUGCCCUAUGGGCUGUAAACUUCUUUUAUACGGGAAUAAAGUGGAGUAUGCAUACUCCUUUGUAUGUACCGUAUGAAUAAGGAUCGGCUAACUCCGUGCCAGCAGCCGCGGUAAUACGGAGGAUCCGAGCGUUAUCCGGAUUUAUUGGGUUUAAAGGGAGCGUAGGCGGGUGCUUAAGUCAGUUGUGAAAGUUUGCGGCUCAACCGUAAAAUUGCAGUUGAUACUGGGCGCCUUGAGUGCAGCAUAGGUAGGCGGAAUUCGUGGUGUAGCGGUGAAAUGCUUAGAUAUCACGAAGAACUCCGAUUGCGAAGGCAGCUUACUGGACUGUAACUGACGCUGAUGCUCGAAAGUGUGGGUAUCAAACAGGAUUAGAUACCCUGGUAGUCCACACAGUAAACGAUGAAUACUCGCUGUUGGCGAUACACAGUCAGCGGCCAAGCGAAAGCAUUAAGUAUUCCACCUGGGGAGUACGCCGGCAACGGUGAAACUCAAAGGAAUUGACGGGGGCCCGCACAAGCGGAGGAACAUGUGGUUUAAUUCGAUGAUACGCGAGGAACCUUACCCGGGCUUAAAUUGCAGUGGAAUGUAGUGGAAACAUUACAGCCUUCGGGCCGCUGUGAAGGUGCUGCAUGGUUGUCGUCAGCUCGUGCCGUGAGGUGUCGGCUUAAGUGCCAUAACGAGCGCAACCCUUAUCUAUAGUUACUAUCAGGUCAUGCUGAGGACUCUAUGGAGACUGCCGUCGUAAGAUGUGAGGAAGGUGGGGAUGACGUCAAAUCAGCACGGCCCUUACGUCCGGGGCUACACACGUGUUACAAUGGGGGGUACAGAAGGCAGCUACCUGGCGACAGGAUGCUAAUCCCUAAAACCUCUCUCAGUUCGGAUUGGAGUCUGCAACCCGACUCCAUGAAGCUGGAUUCGCUAGUAAUCGCGCAUCAGCCACGGCGCGGUGAAUACGUUCCCG
Molecule: ribosomal RNA, 1016 nt
Filed under: uncultured bacterium
Lineage: Bacteria
Description: bacterial SSU rRNA
Rfam family: Bacterial small subunit ribosomal RNA
Source: RNAcentral